Molecule: ribosomal RNA, 355 nt
Filed under: Cryptobranchus alleganiensis (hellbender)
Lineage: Eukaryota; Metazoa; Chordata; Amphibia; Caudata; Cryptobranchidae
Description: partial 16S ribosomal RNA
Source: RNAcentral
CCCUAAUAUUCCAUUAAUUUAACCUAAUUCACAUUAACUAUUGAGUCAAUCUAUUAAAAUAGAUAUGUUUAUGUUAGAAUGAGUAAUAUGAAAUACUUCUCUAAGUGUAAGUGUAAAUCAAAACGAAUACCUCAUUGAUAUUUAACGAACCAUAUUGAAGGUACAAUCCUUUUAAACAAGAAAUUUUGAUUCAAAAAAUCGUUAACCCAACACAGGAACACUAAAGAAGAUUAAAAAUUAAAGAAGGAACUCGGCAAACACGAACUUCGCCUGUUUACCAAAAACAUCGCCUCUUGCUUAUCCUAUAUAAGAGGUCCUGCCUGCCCAGNGACAUCUGUUUAACGGCCGCGGUAUU